GACAGAGGGUGCAAACGUUGUUCGGAAUUACUGGGCGUAAAGCGCGUGUAGGCGGCUUGGUAUGUCGGGUGUGAAAUCCCCGGGCUCAACCUGGGAACUGCAUCCGAAACUGCCUUGCUAGAGUAUGGGAGAGGGAAGUGGAAUUUCCGGUGUAGCGGUGAAAUGCGUAGAUAUCGGAAGGAACAUCAGUGGCGAAGGCGACUUCCUGGACCAAUACUGACGCUGAGGCGCGAAAGCCAGGGGAGCAAACGGG
Molecule: ribosomal RNA, 253 nt
Filed under: uncultured bacterium
Lineage: Bacteria
Description: partial 16S ribosomal RNA
Rfam family: Bacterial small subunit ribosomal RNA
Source: RNAcentral